Arvicanthis niloticus (Nile rat) is the source of this 132-nucleotide small nucleolar RNA. RefSeq annotates it as small nucleolar RNA SNORA17. The record is from RefSeq and is a predicted model, not a curated record. Lineage: Eukaryota; Metazoa; Chordata; Mammalia; Rodentia; Muridae.
CUUGCCACCUAGGGGCAUUGCAGGGGUAGCUGCUUUGUCACAUGUGUAUUAGUAGCUGCCAGAGAUGAAAGUGUCUAUAUCUCCCUUUAGUGUUCUAAUCUAUGAAUAUCUGAAUAAUUAAUAGCCUAUGUU